RNAcentral lists this ribosomal RNA (503 nucleotides) under uncultured bacterium. RNAcentral describes it as "partial 16S ribosomal RNA". It matches the Rfam family "Bacterial small subunit ribosomal RNA", at positions 30 to 523 of the family's 1533-position model. The record is from RNAcentral.
AUUGAACGCUGGCGGCAGGCUUAACACAUGCAAGUCGAGCGGAGUGAUGGUGCUUGCACUAUCACUUAGCGGCGGACGGGUGGGUAAUGCUUAGGAAUCUGCCUAUUAGUGGGGGACAACAUCUCGAAAGGGAUGCUAAUACCGCAUACGUCCUACGGGAGAAAGCAGGGGAUCACUUGUGACCUUGCGCUAAUAGAUGAGCCUAAGUCGGAUUAGCUAGUUGGUGGGGUAAAGGCCUACCAAGGCGACGAUCUGUAGCGGGUCUGAGAGGAUGAUCCGCCACACUGGGACUGAGACACGGCCCAGACUCCUACGGGAGGCAGCAGUGGGGAAUAUUGGACAAUGGGGGGAACCCUGAUCCAGCCAUGCCGCGUGUGUGAAGAAGGCCUUAUGGUUGUAAAGCACUUUAAGCGAGGAGGAGGCUCUUUUGGUUAAUACCCAAGAUGAGUGGACGUUACUCGCGGAAUAAGCACCGGCUAACUCUGUGCCAGCCGCCGCAGUAA